Small nuclear RNA from Colobus angolensis palliatus, 107 nucleotides. The record is from Ensembl. Lineage: Eukaryota; Metazoa; Chordata; Mammalia; Primates; Cercopithecidae.
GCACUCACUUUGGCAGCACAUAUACUAAAAUUAGAAUGAUACAGAGUAGAUUAGCAUGGCCCUUGUGCAAGGCUGUCAUGCAAAUUCAUUAUGCAUUCCAUAUUUUU